Molecule: transfer RNA, 72 nt
Filed under: uncultured Fusobacterium sp.
Lineage: Bacteria; Fusobacteriati; Fusobacteriota; Fusobacteriia; Fusobacteriales; Fusobacteriaceae
Rfam family: tRNA
About the family: Transfer RNA (tRNA) molecules are approximately 80 nucleotides in length.
Source: RNAcentral
GGUGUAUAGCUCAAUUGGAUAGAGCAUCUGACUUCGGAUCAGAGGGUUGAGGGUUCGAAUCCUUCUAUGCCC